This 74-nucleotide transfer RNA is filed under the name Kurthia zopfii. Its description in RNAcentral is "tRNA-Cys(gca)". It matches the Rfam family "tRNA". From Rfam's summary of the family: Transfer RNA (tRNA) molecules are approximately 80 nucleotides in length. Their secondary structure includes four short double-helical elements and three loops (D, anti-codon, and T loops). Further hydrogen bonds mediate the characteristic L-shaped molecular structure. tRNAs have two regions of fundamental functional importance: the anti-codon, which is responsible for specific mRNA codon recognition, and the 3' end, to which the tRNAs corresponding amino acid is attached (by aminoacyl-tRNA synthetases). tRNAs cope with the degeneracy of the genetic code in two manners: having more than one tRNA (with a specific anti-codon) for a particular amino acid; and 'wobble' base-pairing, i.e. permitting non-standard base-pairing at the 3rd anti-codon position. Lineage: Bacteria; Bacillati; Bacillota; Bacilli; Caryophanales; Caryophanaceae. RNAcentral also lists the same sequence under 37 other names. The record is from RNAcentral.
GGCGGCAUAGCCAAGUGGUAAGGCACAGGUCUGCAACACCUCUACCACCGGUUCAAAUCCGGUUGCCGCCUCCA